This 775-nucleotide ribosomal RNA is filed under the name Enterobacter asburiae. Its description in RNAcentral is "partial 23S ribosomal RNA". It matches the Rfam family "Bacterial large subunit ribosomal RNA", at positions 419 to 1196 of the family's 2925-position model. Lineage: Bacteria; Pseudomonadati; Pseudomonadota; Gammaproteobacteria; Enterobacterales; Enterobacteriaceae. The record is from RNAcentral.
GGGACACGUGGUAUCCUGUCUGAAUAUGGGGGGACCAUCCUCCAAGGCUAAAUACUCCUGACUGACCGAUAGUGAACCAGUACCGUGAGGGAAAGGCGAAAAGAACCCCGGCGAGGGGAGUGAAAAAGAACCUGAAACCGUGUACGUACAAGCAGUGGGAGCACCUUCGUGGUGUGACUGCGUACCUUUUGUAUAAUGGGUCAGCGACUUAUAUUCUGUAGCAAGGUUAACCGUAUAGGGGAGCCGAAGGGAAACCGAGUCUUAACUGGGCGUUAAGUUGCAGGGUAUAGACCCGAAACCCGGUGAUCUAGCCAUGGGCAGGUUGAAGGUUGGGUAACACUAACUGGAGGACCGAACCGACUAAUGUUGAAAAAUUAGCGGAUGACUUGUGGCUGGGGGUGAAAGGCCAAUCAAACCGGGAGAUAGCUGGUUCUCCCCGAAAGCUAUUUAGGUAGCGCCUCGUGAACUCAUCUUCGGGGGUAGAGCACUGUUUCGGCUAGGGGGCCAUCCCGGCUUACCAACCCGAUGCAAACUACGAAUACCGAAGAAUGUUAUCACGGGAGACACACGGCGGGUGCUAACGUCCGUCGUGAAGAGGGAAACAACCCAGACCGCCAGCUAAGGUCCCAAAGUCAUGGUUAAGUGGGAAACGAUGUGGGAAGGCACAGACAGCCAGGAUGUUGGCUUAGAAGCAGCCAUCAUUUAAAGAAAGCGUAAUAGCUCACUGGUCGAGUCGGCCUGCGCGGAAGAUGUAACGGGGCUAAACCAUGCACCG